RNAcentral lists this ribosomal RNA (253 nucleotides) under uncultured bacterium. RNAcentral describes it as "partial 16S ribosomal RNA". It matches the Rfam family "Bacterial small subunit ribosomal RNA", at positions 524 to 776 of the family's 1533-position model. The record is from RNAcentral.
UACGAAGGGGGCUAGCGUUGCUCGGAAUUACUGGGCGUAAAGCGCACGUAGGCGGACUCUUAAGUCAGGGGUGAAAUCCUGGAGCUCAACUCCAGAACUGCCUUUGAUACUGGGAGUCUUGAGUUCGGGAGAGGUGAGUGGAACUGCGAGUGUAGAGGUGAAAUUCGUAGAUAUUCGCAAGAACACCAGUGGCGAAGGCGGCUCACUGGCCCGAUACUGACGCUGAGACGUGAAGGCGUGGGGAGCGAACGGG